This 395-nucleotide ribosomal RNA is filed under the name uncultured bacterium. Its description in RNAcentral is "bacterial SSU rRNA". It matches the Rfam family "Bacterial small subunit ribosomal RNA", at positions 28 to 426 of the family's 1533-position model. The record is from RNAcentral.
GACGAACGCUGGCGGCGUGCUUAACACAUGCAAGUCGAACGGUAAGGCCCUUCGGGGUACACGAGUGGCGAACGGGUGGAGUAACACGUGGGUGAUCUGCCCUGCACUUCGGGAUAAGCCUGGGAAACUGGGUCUAAUACCGGAUAGGACCAUGGACUUCACGGUUUGUGGUGGAAAGCUUUUGCGGUGUGGGAUGGGCCCGCGGCCUAUCAGCUUGUUGGUGGGGUAAUGGCCUACCAAGGCGACGACGGGUAGCCGGCCUGAGAGGGUGUCCGGCCACACUGGGACUGAGAUACGGCCCAGACUCCUACGGGAGGCAGCAGUGGGGAAUAUUGCACAAUGGGCGCAAGCCUGAUGCAGCGACGCCGCGUGACGGAUGACGGCCUUCGGGUUGU